GAGUAACGUGUGGGCAACCUGCCCUAUACUGGGGGAUAAUCACUGGAAACGGUGACUAAUACCGCAUGUCAUUACGAGAAGGCAUCCUUCUGUAAGAAAAGGAGUAAUUCGGUAUAGGAUGGGCCCGCAUCUGAUUAGCUAGUUGGUGAGAUAACAGCCCACCAAGGCGACGAUCAGUAGCCGACCUGAGAGGGUGAUCGGCCACAUUGGGACUGAGACACGGCCCAAACUCCUACGGGAGGCAGCAGUGGGGAAUAUUGCACAAUGGGGGAAACCCUGAUGCAGCAACGCCGCGUGAAGGAAGAAGGUUUUCGGAUCGUAAACUUCUAUCAACAGGGACGAAGAAAGUGACGGUACCUGAAUAAGAAGCCCCGGCUAACUACGUGCCAGCAGCCGCGGUAAUACGUAGGGGGCAAGCGUUAUCCGGAAUUACUGGGUGUAAAGGGAGCGUAGGCGGCACGCCAAGCCAGAUGUGAAAGCCCGAGGCUUAACCUCGCGGAUUGCAUUUGGAACUGGCGAGCUAGAGUACAGGAGAGGAAAGCGGAAUUCCUAGUGUAGCGGUGAAAUGCGUAGAUAUUAGGAAGAACACCAGUGGCGAAGGCGGCUUUCUGGACUGAAACUGACGCUGAGGCUCGAAAGCGUGGGGAGCAAACAGGAUUAGAUACCCUGGUAGUCCACGCCGUAAACGAUGAGUGCUAGGUGUCGGGGAGGAAUCCUCGGUGCCGCAGCUAACGCAAUAAGCACUCCACCUGGGGAGUACGACCGCAAGGUUGAAACUCAAAGGAAU
RNAcentral lists this ribosomal RNA (787 nucleotides) under human gut metagenome. Its description in RNAcentral is "bacterial SSU rRNA". It matches the Rfam family "Bacterial small subunit ribosomal RNA", at positions 108 to 910 of the family's 1533-position model. The record is from RNAcentral.